This 420-nucleotide ribosomal RNA is filed under the name uncultured bacterium. RNAcentral's name for it is "bacterial SSU rRNA". It matches the Rfam family "Bacterial small subunit ribosomal RNA", at positions 356 to 773 of the family's 1533-position model. The record is from RNAcentral.
GAGGAAUAUUGGACAAUGGGCGUAAGCCUGAUCCAGCCAUGCCGCGUGCAGGAAGACGGCCCUAUGGGUUGUAAACUGCUUUUAUACGGGAAGAAACAACGCCACGUGUGGCGUCUUGACGGUACCGUAAGAAUAAGGAUCGGCUAACUCCGUGCCAGCAGCCGCGGUAAUACGGAGGAUCCAAGCGUUAUCCGGAAUCAUUGGGUUUAAAGGGUCCGUAGGUGGACGAUUAAGUCGGAGGUGAAAUCCUGCAGCUCAACUGUAGAAUGGCCUUUGAUACUGGUUGUCUUGAAUCAUUGUGAAGUGGUUAGAAUAUGUGGUGUAGCGGUGAAAUGCAUAGAUAUCACAUAGAAUACCGAUUGCGAAGGCAGAUCACUAACAAUGCAUUGACACUGAUGGACGAAAGCGUGGGGAGCGAAC